This 278-nucleotide ribosomal RNA is filed under the name uncultured Oscillospiraceae bacterium. RNAcentral's name for it is "partial 16S ribosomal RNA". It matches the Rfam family "Bacterial small subunit ribosomal RNA", at positions 511 to 788 of the family's 1533-position model. Lineage: Bacteria; Bacillati; Bacillota; Clostridia; Eubacteriales; Oscillospiraceae. The record is from RNAcentral.
GCAGCCGCGGUAAUACGGAGGAUCCGAGCGUUAUCCGGAAUUAUUGGGUUUAAAGGGUCCGCAGGCGGAAGUAUAAGUCAGUAGUGAAAUCUCUCGGCUCAACCGAGAACGUGCUACAGAAACUGUACAUCUAGAGACAGAGUGGAGUUGGCGGAAUGUGACAAGUAGCGGUGAAAUGCAUAGAUAUGUCACAGAACACCGAUAGCGAAAGCAGCUGACUAACACUGAUCUGACGCUCAUGGACGAAAGCGUGGGGAGCAAACAGGAUUAGAUACCCC